RNAcentral lists this ribosomal RNA (1404 nucleotides) under Burkholderia mallei 2002721280. RNAcentral's name for it is "16S ribosomal RNA". The record is from RNAcentral. Lineage: Bacteria; Pseudomonadati; Pseudomonadota; Betaproteobacteria; Burkholderiales; Burkholderiaceae.
GAACGCAUCGCGCCCGCGGCGAGCGUGCAUGAGACGCUGCGCUCGAUCGAGGCCAGCGCCGCGCAAUGGACGGCGCUCGCGGGCGCAACGAGCACCGCCGCAACGCCGGUGACGGCGCGCGAAUCGAUAGCGGCGCCGGCUGCGCCGUCGGGCGGUGCGGCCGCAUCGGCCGCGCGGGAUGGUCGCGCGCCGACGAGCGCGGAAACGGCCGCACCGGACGGCCACGCGCCGACGAGCGCGGAAACGGUCGCGCCGGACGGCCACGUGCCGACGAGCGCGGAAACGGCCGCGCCGGACGGCCACGUGCCGACGAGCGCGGAAACGGCCGCGCCGAACGACCAUGCGUCGACGAGCGCGGAAACGGUCGCGCCGGACAGCCACGCGCCGACGAGCGCGGAAACGGCCGCGCCGGACGGCCAUGCGUCGACGAUCACGGAAGCGACCGCGCCGAACGGCCACGUGUCGGCGACCGUAGAAACAUCCGCUGUCGCCGCGCCCGCAGGCAUCACUCAAGCCGCGCCGCCCAUCGCCGCCGACAUCUGCCCUGCCGGCGAGCACGUGAUCGCCGCCGUCGAACCGGCGUGCACCUCGGAUUCCGCCGCCAUCGGCGCCGGCGCGAUCGCCCAUGCCGAAGCCGGCGCGGCUGCUUCGACCGCCGAGACCGCUUCCCCCAUCGGCGCGGACACGCACAUCGCACCCAGCCGCGAAGCGGACCGCACCGCUCAGACAGCGCCGACCGCGCCAAGCCCGGCCGAAGCAACGCCUCAUGUCGACGCGCCACACGCGCUCGAUGUCGCCGCUCGCGCCCUCGUCGGAAACACCGCCGCCACCGCGCACGGCGCCGCGGCCGUCAACGGAUCGGCGCAACGCGCCGACACCGCGUCGCCUGCCGCAUCGACGAGCGGCCCCCCCGCCCCUGUCGCGGCAUCGGCCGCCUCGAGCGAUCGCGCAGCCCCGCAACCCGUUGCCACGGCGGCGCCGGCGUCGAUUGCAACGUCCGGGGCUCUCGGCACGAUGAAGGCGAGCGGCACUGCCGGCCCUCAACCGUCAACCAUCGCCGCGCAGCGUGCAUCGGCCAUCGACGAUACCGGCCAGCCGCCGUCGACAGGACAUUCGACGCAUGCCGCCGUCUCGAACGAGCUCGGGCGGCGGCCCCAUGCCGCGCCAGACGCCGUCACGCCGGUAUUGCCGCCUGCCGCCGCGGCCGUGCCGACGAACGCGAGCGCCGUGCAACGUCAGGCGCUGGCGAGCGAGAGCGCCGAGGCCGCCCAAGGCGUCGCGAGAGCAGCGGCCGCCGGCGACUCGCGCGAGACGACGCAGGUGUCGCCCGCAGGCGCCAGGCCAGACGGAGCCGCCCCGAGCGCCGCCGUGGCGAACCCGAUCGCGCCGUUGCCGGACGCAUCG